RNAcentral lists this ribosomal RNA (253 nucleotides) under uncultured bacterium. RNAcentral describes it as "partial 16S ribosomal RNA". It matches the Rfam family "Bacterial small subunit ribosomal RNA", at positions 524 to 776 of the family's 1533-position model. The record is from RNAcentral.
UACGGGGGGGGCAAGCGUUGUUCGGAAUUACUGGGCGUAAAGGGCUCGUAGGUGGCCAACUAAGUCAGACGUGAAAUCCCCAGGCUCAACCUGGGAACUGCAUCCGAUACUGGAUGGCUUGAAUUCGGGAGAGGGAUGCAGAAUUCCAGGUGUAGCGGUGAAAUGCGUAGAUAUCUGGAGGAAUACCGGUGGCGAAGGCGGCAUCCUGGACCGACAUUGACGCUGAGGAGCGAAAGCCAGGGGAGCAAACGGG